This 253-nucleotide ribosomal RNA is filed under the name uncultured bacterium. RNAcentral's name for it is "partial 16S ribosomal RNA". It matches the Rfam family "Bacterial small subunit ribosomal RNA", at positions 524 to 776 of the family's 1533-position model. The record is from RNAcentral.
UACGAAGGGGGCGAGCGUUGUUCGGAAUUACUGGGCGUAAAGGGCGCGUAGGCGGCCUUCUAAGUCGAACGUGAAAUCCCCGGGCUCAACCCGGGAACUGCGUCCGAUACUGGGAGGCUUGAAUCCGGGAGAGGGAUGUGGAAUUCCAGGUGUAGCGGUGAAAUGCGUAGAUAUCUGGAGGAACACCGGUGGCGAAGGCGGCAUCCUGGACCGGUAUUGACGCUGAGGCACGAAAGCUAGGGGAGCAAACAGG